Molecule: ribosomal RNA, 327 nt
Filed under: uncultured eukaryote
Lineage: Eukaryota
Description: partial 18S ribosomal RNA
Rfam family: Eukaryotic small subunit ribosomal RNA
Source: RNAcentral
CCCUUAGAUGUCCUGGGCCGCACGCGUGCUACACUGACGCCUACAGCGAGUACUUCCCAGCCCCGAGAGGCGGCUGGUAAUCAGCAAUAGGCGUCGUGAUGGGGAUAGAUUAUUGCAAUUAUUAAUCUUCAACGAGGAAUGCCUAGUAAGCGCAAGUCAUCAGCUUGCGUUGAUUACGUCCCUGCCCUUUGUACACACCGCCCGUCGCUCCUACCGAUUGAAUGGUCCGGUGAAGCGUUCGGACCGUGGCCUUUGGACGGUUCGCCGUCUGUUGGCUGCGGGAAGUUCGUUAAACCUUAUCAUUUAGAGGAAGGAGAAGUCGUAACA